Molecule: long non-coding RNA, 476 nt
Organism: Zophobas morio
Lineage: Eukaryota; Metazoa; Arthropoda; Insecta; Coleoptera; Tenebrionidae
Exons: 2
Source: RefSeq, a predicted model, not a curated record
UCUUUAAUGUGUGUUCAAAAAGGGGGUUAUAUUGUUACACAAUUCAAGUUUUCAAGGUCAACAUUCCAACAUCCACCGAGCAAGUUCUUCACCCUCCUCCCUCUUAUAAAUUUCCUGUCCCACUACCCUUUCUACGUAAUAGUUAUCUGCCGCGUUAUAAAGUUGGCACAGUUUUACAUGUACAUUUUACAUUUAUUUUCUUUAAUUAAAAAUGAAUUGUUACGUUAGUGGAGUGUUGCCUAGAUUUGGUGCAUGGGCAUUUUUCACUGCUGGUAUUGGGGCUGUGGGAAUUGCGUCGUACGCCUACAGCAGAUGGUGUAAGAAAAAAGAAUCACUGGAAUCAUCCAAGAAAAAAAUUCUUCUGGACAACAACAUCAAAAUUAGCAAACAAUGAACAAUACUGUGAAAUGUUCUAAAUCAGAAAUAAAAUUUGGCCACCUGCAAAAAUUACUGUUGAUUACAAUUUCUAAAAUUUA